GCUCAAACCAAGAAAACAGCAACACAACAAAGUGUGAUGCUCAAAAAUCAAAUUUAAAAAAUCCCCCAAUUAUAUGGAAUCUAGAGAUUGGCUAGACCGUCCAUAAGGACAUGCUGUUUUUUGUUCUUGUUUUCGUUUGCGGUUUAUUUUUUAAAUUUCUAAUCCAUUGUGGACCGCUAUGUUUUUGUAAAAUACAAUAUAAAUGAGUUACUAAAUAAAAUUUUAAUUAAUUAAUUACUUUUUUGGUUGGCGCCCUCCAGGUGUGGGAUCAGAAUUCCCCAACCAGGGAUGGAACGCACACCCCCGGCAUUAGAAGGUGCAGUCCUAACCACGGAGCCGCCAGGGAAGUCCCACUAAACACUUGUUAAAAGACAUAAAGCUCCAAUCCAAAUAUCUUAACACCAGACCUUUGUAGGCUACCUCCUUUAUGUUCAGCAUGUAUGAAAUGAUUUCGUUUUUUAUAUGCAGCUGCUAUAAAAGUCUGUCUUUCUUUUCGAAGUCUGUAUUUAUCUCUCUGCUUAGCCCUGAGACGUAGGUGGGAUAAACGCUCCAGAGUUUCACGCGCCGGACGCCUGGAUGGCUGCCUCCCCCGAACCCUUGCCCCGCAUCAUCCGGCCAAGCAUCCCCUCUGGAGCAUGCGCCGUCCAUUCCUGCGAUCUGGCCUGCGGAGGUCCCUCCUCUCCGGCCUUUCAAGCAGAGACCUUCAUCUGACCCUGCCCGGCUACUGGGCAAGGCUCCGUUGCCCUGUGACACUGAAGGGCGAGGGAGCCACAGAGGGCUCAAGAGUCCCUGAGCAUCAGGGUUUACCGGAUGCGUGGUGUGAACUAGGCUCCAAAUGAAGAGCCUGGGAGGAGGGCCUCCGUCGCCUCGGUUACCCAGGUGGUUCCCAUCCCAAGCCUCUCCUUCAGCCCCCACAGAAAUGCGGAGUGGGGCUUCUCCUGGGAACGGUGGUCAGGGCUGCAAUGCCCGGACCUGGCUCUGCCACGCUCCAUGCUUCUGCUGAUGCACAGCGCCUGCCAGCGCAUCCUCUCCCUGCGCAUUCAUCAGGACCCACACCCAGGAACACACCCAGCUGCACCUUGUUUGAAAAAGAAAAAAGAGCUGCUGUAUGAAUCCCGCUUAGAAAACAGCUGAACCAGGCUCCUCUGUCCAUCGCAUUUUCAAGGCAAGAAUGCUGGAGUGGAUUGCCAUUUCCUUCUUCAAGGGGAAUCUUCCCGACCCAGGGGUUGAACCUGCAAUCUCCUGUAUUGAUCAUCACUGGAAGCCAUAAUGACACAGUUGGAUCAUCUGAGCUUUCUGCAUUCAGGGGUUAAUAUUGGAAUACAGUGGUGCUCACGGUGUGGUCCCUGGCUCACAGCACUAGCAUAACAUGGGCACUUAGACGUGUGAAUCCUUGGGUCUCACCCCAGACGCUGAAGCAGAUGUCGGCAGUGGAAGCCCAGGAACUGAUGCUUUAACAAGCCCUCCAGGAUAUCCUCCCACCUGUUAAAGUGGGAGAACCUGUGCUGUGUAAAUAAACACUGCUGAUUCUGGACCAGAUUCCUUUACCAGCUGGUGCUAUCACUCGUGAGUGUGGGGUGGGCAGCUAACAGCCCACAGUUACAGCCUUCACUAAACAAUUGUCCUUGGUUGAAAGCCCUUGCCCAGACAUGGAAACACGUCAGGGGUGACGCCACAACCUCCCCCAGAGUCAGGCCAACCAGUGACUGAGGUGGGCUGUAAAAGUCCAGCCCGUUAUCUCAAGACCUGGCAGUUCCGCAGCAGGGCUCUUCCGUGGACUCAGGCCGAGGUCAGACUUCACCUGAUGCCGAGUCCCUGGUUGUCUCCUUGCCUUUCCCUCUGCUCUCUUACUCCUUAUACAGCAUCCUACCUCAAUACCACCCAGCACUGAAUCCUUGUCUCAGGCUCUACUUUCCAGGCAAUCUGCUCACCUACAAUCAUAGGUAGAAGACCAUGGCCUGCGGGCCAGCCACCAGUUUGUGCAAAUAAAGUGUUAUUGGAAAAUAGCUGUGCCUGCUAUUUGUAUAUUGCCUAUGGC
Bos taurus (domestic cattle) is the source of this 2038-nucleotide long non-coding RNA. The record is from Ensembl. Lineage: Eukaryota; Metazoa; Chordata; Mammalia; Artiodactyla; Bovidae.